RNAcentral lists this ribosomal RNA (351 nucleotides) under uncultured bacterium. Its description in RNAcentral is "bacterial SSU rRNA". It matches the Rfam family "Bacterial small subunit ribosomal RNA", at positions 917 to 1264 of the family's 1533-position model. The record is from RNAcentral.
GGACCCGCACAAGUAGUGGAGCAUGUGGUUUAAUUCGAAGAUACGCGCAGAACCUUACCAACACUUGACAUGUUCGUCGCGACUUUAAGAGAUUAAAGUUUUCGGUUCGGCCGGACGAAACACAGGUGCUGCAUGGCUGUCGUCAGCUCGUGUCGUGAGAUGUUGGGUUAAGUCCCGCAACGAGCGCAACCCUCACUUUUAGUUGCCAUCAUUUAGUUGGGCACUCUGAAAGAACUGCCAGUGAUAAGCUGGAGGAAGGUGGGGAUGACGUCAAGUCCUCAUGGCCCUUACGUGUUGGGCUACACACGUGCUACAAUGGGUAUCUACAACAGGAAGCAAGACGGCGACGUU